AACUUUCAACAACGGAUCUCUUGGUUCUGGCAUCGAUGAAGAACGCAGCGAAAUGCGAUAAGUAGUGUGAAUUGCAGAAUUCAGUGAAUCAUCGAAUCUUUGGACGCACAUUGCGCCCUUUGGUAUUCCAAAGGGCAUGCCUGUUCGAGCGUCAUUUGUACCCUCAAGCU
This 170-nucleotide ribosomal RNA is filed under the name Alternaria sp. FEL4. RNAcentral's name for it is "Embellisia sp. FEL4 5.8S ribosomal RNA". It matches the Rfam family "5.8S ribosomal RNA". From Rfam's summary of the family: 5.8S ribosomal RNA (5.8S rRNA) is a component of the large subunit of the eukaryotic ribosome. The record is from RNAcentral. Lineage: Eukaryota; Fungi; Ascomycota; Dothideomycetes; Pleosporales; Pleosporaceae.